AGGACGAACGCUGGCGGCAUGCCUAACACAUGCAAGUCGAGCGGCAGCGCGGGGGCGACCCUGGCGGCGAGCGGCGGACGGGUGAGUAAGGCAUCGGAAUCUGCCCUGAUGUGGGGGAUAACGUAGGGAAACUUACGCUAAUACCGCAUACGACCGAGAGGUGAAAGCGGGGGACCGAAAGGCCUCGCGCAGCAGGAUGAGCCGAUGUCCGAUUAGCUGGUUGGUGGGGUAACGGCCUACCAAGGCAAAGACGGGUAGCUGGUCUGAGAGGACGAUCAGCCACACUGGCACUGAGACACGGGCCAGACUCCUACGGGAGGGAGC
RNAcentral lists this ribosomal RNA (324 nucleotides) under uncultured prokaryote. RNAcentral's name for it is "bacterial SSU rRNA". It matches the Rfam family "Bacterial small subunit ribosomal RNA", at positions 26 to 352 of the family's 1533-position model. The record is from RNAcentral.